CGGCGGACGGGUGAGUAACGCGUGGGUAACCUGCCUCAUACAGGGGGAUAACAGUUAGAAAUGGCCGCUAAUACCGCAUAAGACCACGGUACUGCAUGGUACAGUGGUAAAAACUCCGGUGGUAUGAGAUGGACCCGCGUCUGAUUAGGUAGUUGGUGAGGUAACGGCCCACCAAGCCGACGAUCAGUAGCCGACCUGAGAGGGUGACCGGCCACAUUGGGACUGAGACACGGCCCAG
RNAcentral lists this ribosomal RNA (238 nucleotides) under uncultured bacterium. Its description in RNAcentral is "partial 16S ribosomal RNA". It matches the Rfam family "Bacterial small subunit ribosomal RNA", at positions 96 to 334 of the family's 1533-position model. The record is from RNAcentral.